Molecule: RNA transcript, 1642 nt
Organism: Chenopodium quinoa (quinoa)
Lineage: Eukaryota; Viridiplantae; Streptophyta; Magnoliopsida; Caryophyllales; Amaranthaceae
Exons: 7
Source: RefSeq, a predicted model, not a curated record
UUUCGGAGUUCAAGCUCACAUUGUAGCACACAAGUCAUACUUGUAAAACUCUUUGUUUCAACUUGUGAACAUAAAAAACUUAGCUAAUUUAUCUAUAUCUAUCUAUAACCUAUAUAAAAGUCCCAAGCACCAAGACGGUAGCAAAUUUACUGUUCCUUAUAAACAGCGAAAUACCACAUUUGCCCUCUGCUUCCUUGGCUGAAUUUCCAAUAUCACCUGGGUUAGUUUUGUCUUUUUGGUUUUUAAUGGCCUACCUCUUGCUUUGCAGCCCAGUUGCCCCUUGCCCCCAUUUCUCUCUCUUUCCUGCUUUUGCUCCUCCUCAUCCUCACAUCUCCUGAUUUUGCUUUAUUUCAUCUACAUCCGCCAUUGUUGAACAAGCUUCCAGAAAUGAGUCUGCUUCUCCCUCCUCUUGGAUUUUGUGCAAUUUUAACAAAAAAUUUCGGUUUCGAUCUUGUUUUUGGGUAAUUUAUGAGAAUUAGGGCUUUUUUAUUUCGUUUUUGAUCAUUAGCGCAUAAUUAGGGUUUUUCAAUUCUGUUUGCUCGAAAUUGUCAACAUUUUGAAUAGAGAGAGAAGUUGGAUGUUUUAAUUCAAAGUAGCAGUUGAUUCACAACAUCACAAGGAAUCGAACAGUCGAACUUCUUCUCUAAUUGAUUUUCGAUCAAAUUUUCCUUUUGUUAAGAUGAAUUUUCAAGUCGUGUUGGGUUUCUUGGUCUGGGAAUCAUGGGUUCUCCAAUGGCCCAAAAUCUCAUUAAGGCCGGAUCAUUCCAAAAAAACACGUUGGCCACCACUUCGAAGAACACUGAUCCGCUUUUUGUCAAGGUUAGCAUGGAUGGUGCUCCCUAAUUAAGGAAGGUUGAUCUCAGAACUUAUACCACUUAUCAAGAACUUUUCUCUGGCCUUGAGAAGAUGUUUAGUUGCUUCACACUAGGUCAAUGUGGAUCAAACAUGACAGAAACGAAAUUGAGGGAUCUCCUGCAUGGAUCAGAAUAUGUUCUCACCUACGAGGACAAGGAUGGUGACUGGAUGCUUGUUGGAGACGUCCCAUGUGAGAGAAUACUAAGACGAAGCAUCUACAAUUACAGUAUAAGGCGAAGGUAUACGACAUUCUUCAAGGAGGAAGUACGUCACGAUUUAUAAUCAUCAAGUAGAACAUAGUAAUGUUAGCAAAAUGGGGAAGAAAGGAAGCUGGUUUUCAGCAAGUAAGAGGGUCUUUGCUCAUAGCUCUAAGGAGAAUGUAGCUAAUGGAAUAGAGAAGAAAAAUAAAGAAAGGGCUCGGGAAUCUAAAAUUCGAGAUGGCCAUUCGUUCUUGCCUUUUGUCAGAGACCCAGUAGCAUUGAGAAUACUUAGGUGGUUGAAAGGGGGCACCAAGUUACAAAACCUGAGCAACCAAAGGCAGAACUUCCGACUCCACCUGAGCAAAAGGCAGAACCUCCGGCUCCACCUCAGCAACCAAAGACAGAACCUCCUCAUGUAACUCCAAUUCGAUAUAUUUAUAGCUUCUCUGAGUUAUAGAAAUCCCUUCCUUUCAAAUGCCAAAUGACACUGAUGUCUUUAUAAUUUUGUAUUCUAAUACUGUAGCUACAAUCUUUUGUGGCUGAAACUAUCUUGUCUAAUAAACUUUUUUCACUUUGGAUGAUUUGCA